This 198-nucleotide ribosomal RNA is filed under the name uncultured bacterium. Its description in RNAcentral is "partial 16S ribosomal RNA". It matches the Rfam family "Bacterial small subunit ribosomal RNA", at positions 1303 to 1500 of the family's 1533-position model. The record is from RNAcentral.
GGCUGCAACUCGCCUGCACGAAGUCGGAAUUGCUAGUAAUCGUAGGUCAGCAUACUACGGUGAAUACGUUCCCGGGCCUUGUACACACCGCCCGCCAAACCAUGAGAGUUGGCAACACCCGAAGUCGGUAGUCUAACCGCAAGGAGGACGCCGCCGAAGGUGGGGUUGAUGAUUAGGGUUAAGUCGUAACAAGGUACC